UGCCUAACACAUGCAAGUCGAACGAGAAAGUCGGUAGCAAUACUGGCAAGUAAAGUGGCGACCGGGUGAGUAACACGUGGAUAACCUGCCACCGAGUGGGGAAUAACCCUGGGAAACCGGGGCUAAUACCGCAUAACACCUCUGGACUUCGGUCCGGGGGUUGAAACCCGCAAGGGGCUUGGUGAGGGGUCCGCGGCCGAUUAGCUAGUUGGUGAGGUAAUGGCCCACCAAGGCUUUGAUCGGUAGCCGGCCUGAGAGGGCGGACGGCCACACUGGAACUGAAACACGGUCCAGACUCCUACGGGAGGCAGCAGUGGGGAAUUUUGCGCAAUGGGGGAAACCCUGACGCAGCAACGCCGCGUGGACGAUGAAGCUUCUUGGAGUGUAAAGUCC
This 393-nucleotide ribosomal RNA is filed under the name uncultured organism. RNAcentral describes it as "bacterial SSU rRNA". It matches the Rfam family "Bacterial small subunit ribosomal RNA", at positions 45 to 433 of the family's 1533-position model. The record is from RNAcentral.